GACGAACGCUGGCUGCGUGCUUAACACAUGCAAGUCGAACGCUGAAGCCCCAGCUUGCUGGGGUGGAUGAGUGGCGAACGGGUGAGUAACACGUGAGUAACCUGCCCCUGACUUCGGGAUAAGCCCGGGAAACUGGGUCUAAUACCGGAUACGACUAUCGGACGCAUGUCUGGUGGUGGAAAGUUUUUUCGGUUGGGGAUGGGCUCGCGGCCUAUCAGUUUGUUGGUGAGGUAAUGGCUCACCACGACGACGCCGGGUAGCCGGCCUGAGAGGGCGACCGGCCACACUGGGACUGAGACACGGCCCAGACUCCUACGGGAGGCAGCAGUGGGGAAUAUUGCACAAUGGGGGAAACCCUGAUGCAGCGACGCAGCGUGCGGGAUGACGGCCUUCGGGUUGUAAACCGCUUUCAGCAGGGAAGAAGCCUUCGGGUGACGGUACCUGCAGAAGAAGUACCGGCUAACUACGUG
This 470-nucleotide ribosomal RNA is filed under the name uncultured bacterium. RNAcentral's name for it is "partial 16S ribosomal RNA". It matches the Rfam family "Bacterial small subunit ribosomal RNA", at positions 28 to 507 of the family's 1533-position model. The record is from RNAcentral.